UGAGCAAUCUGCCCUCCUCUUCGGAAUAAGCGUUGGAAACGACGUCUAAUGCCGAAUACGACCUCCUUUCGCAUGAUUGGAGGUGGAAAGCUCCGGCGGAGAUGGAUGAGCUCGCGGCCUAUCAGCUAGUUGGAGAGGUAACGGCUCACCAAGGCAACGACGGGUAGCUGGUCUGAGAGGAUGGCCAGCCACAUUGGGACUGAGAUACGGCCCAGACUCCGUAACGGGG
RNAcentral lists this ribosomal RNA (229 nucleotides) under uncultured bacterium. Its description in RNAcentral is "partial 16S ribosomal RNA". It matches the Rfam family "Bacterial small subunit ribosomal RNA", at positions 118 to 346 of the family's 1533-position model. The record is from RNAcentral.